Molecule: long non-coding RNA, 264 nt
Organism: Telopea speciosissima
Lineage: Eukaryota; Viridiplantae; Streptophyta; Magnoliopsida; Proteales; Proteaceae
Exons: 2
Source: RefSeq, a predicted model, not a curated record
GCCUAAAGGAUCCCAAGAUGGAAACUAUUUUUGUUCACUUAAUGAUAUAUUUGGUGUUGUGCAAGAAUGGAGUGGAAGGAGAUGGAAGGCUUUCUAGAAAACAUGAAGAUAAAGACCUGGAUUUGGAGAUGCAACUCAAGCUUCUUAACAAGCCAGCAGUGAAGUCCAUCAAGGUAUACUAAAUAUGGAGAUAUUUAUGAUUGUGUGGAUAUCAAGAAGCAACCAGCAUUUGAUCACCCCUUACUCAGAAAUCAUACCAUUCAG